GUCCUACGGGGCGCAGUAGGGAAUCUUCCACAAUGGGCGAAAGCCUGAUGGAGCAACGCCGCGUGGGUGAAGAAGGUCUUCGGAUCGUAAAACCCUGUUGUUAGAGAAGAAAGUGCGUGAGAGUAACUGUUCACGUUUCGACGGUAUCUAACCAGAAAGCCACGGCUAACUACGUGCCAGCAGCCGCGGUAAUAUGUAGGUGGCAAGCGUUAUCCGGAUUUAUUGGGCGUAAAGGGAACGCAGGCGGUCUUUUAAGCCUGAUGUGAAAGCCUUCGGCUUAACCGGAGUAGUGCAUGGGAAACUGG
This 305-nucleotide ribosomal RNA is filed under the name uncultured bacterium. RNAcentral's name for it is "bacterial SSU rRNA". It matches the Rfam family "Bacterial small subunit ribosomal RNA", at positions 335 to 636 of the family's 1533-position model. The record is from RNAcentral.